UACGGGGGGGGGCAAGCGUUGUUCGGAAUUACUGGGCGUAAAGGGCUCGUAGGCGGCCAACUAAGUCAGACGUGAAAUCCCCAGGCUCAACCUGGGAACUGCGUCUGAUACUGGAUGGCCUGAAUCCGGGAGAGGGAUGCAGAAUUCCAGGUGUAGCGGUGAAAUGCGUAGAUAUCUGGAGGAAUACCGGUGGCGAAGGCGGCAUCCUGGACCGGCAUUGACGCUGAGGAGCGAAAGCCAGGGGAGCAAACGGG
This 254-nucleotide ribosomal RNA is filed under the name uncultured bacterium. RNAcentral's name for it is "partial 16S ribosomal RNA". It matches the Rfam family "Bacterial small subunit ribosomal RNA", at positions 524 to 776 of the family's 1533-position model. The record is from RNAcentral.